GAAUCAAGCAGACCAUUGUAAGGAUGUCUCUGAAAUCUAACUCAGGAGCUGACCUCAAUGACCCAGUGGUAAAGGAACAGAUGUUGGAGCAGAUCAGAAAGGAGCUUGCUAAGGACGGGAACUUCAUCCAAGACUUGCGAUGGAGAGAACUGCCGAAUGGAGAUGUUUUUCGCAAAACAGUUGAACUUGGAAGCCCUGAUGAAGGUCAGUGUGGGUCUGGAUGAGGAGGACCAGCCAUGAUGAUGCAACAGGAGAGGGAUGGAAGGUCCAAGAAAACUAAAAUACUCAAGCUUACUGUAAAUAACCCUAGUACCUCAUAAUAUAUGACCGUAUAUCAAUAACAUUAUCUUAGUUCACGGACAGUUUUUUCUUUAGUUAUAGAUAGCUUUAUGCUUAUGAAUGAAAAAUAUGAUGUCAAGUUUUAUUAGGCUAGAUUUUAACUCUACAAUGUUUAACUAUUGUAAUGUGAAAUUAUAACAUAAGAUUUUUGUUGGUGUAUGAAUGUAGUGUAAUAAUAAUGUUUGUUGUACAUCAGGGCAAUUUGAUUAGAGAAGAGAAGAGGAAUAAAAAGGACAUUUGUGUUUGUUCAAGUUUGUACUUAAAACAUGUGUGGUGACAUGUUUCAGUGAUGGAUUUUCAGAGUGUAAAAUCCUUGAUAAUGAUGUUACACACUCACUUAUGGAUG
Molecule: non-coding RNA, 685 nt
Organism: Salmo salar (Atlantic salmon)
Lineage: Eukaryota; Metazoa; Chordata; Actinopteri; Salmoniformes; Salmonidae
Source: RefSeq, a predicted model, not a curated record